CCUCCUUAUCUGUGCCGCCAGCAGCAACAUUGGCAGUGCUGGAAAUUGGACUUGUUAAUUAAACUAGUGCUCCCUCUGUUGGCUGGAUGUCAGCGCCCCGAAACAAGGGCUUGCGCAGCCAGGGACUGCAUUGAUUUAUGUAAAAAACAGAUGCACUGGAUAGAGUUAGAGCCCAGAAGAUAUCCCGGAGUUACAGUUGUCUUGCAAAUGAAAAUCGGGUCUCGAAUAAGCCCCUUCACCGAGUGCAGCCUGAGCGCAUCACAGAAAUACAGGCUGCAUAAUUUGGAACUCUUCAGAAAAUGUUUACUCCCUAUGCAUGCCGCUAAGGCUUCCCUGCCUUUACAUUCACGUCAAUCAGAAAUAAUUUGGAGCGCUUGAAGUCUACCUGGCAAAGAAGUGAAAUCAUUCAGACCUUUAUGCCAGGAUGCUGCGGAAUACCAAAUGAAGUCUAAGAAUUAAAUUUAUUUCAUGUCACUUUAGUUUGUGCUCAAAUUCAACUCGGGAAGGUUUCAGAGACAAAACUCGGCACCUGUAUUCUAUCUGCGUCUUCCAAGUAGCUGCACAGCCGCAGAAAGAAUGUGGAUGAAUGCACACAUUCAAGGUUUAAUGUGAGAAAAUGCAUCUCGUUCAAGUUGUUUAAGACCUGCACUUCAAAGCUGUGUAGCACGUUGUGUAAAACUGUGCAUAAGCAGUUUGCUCAGGUUUGAGGGUUACACCGUCUCGGUGUUUUCCCAUCACUCGCCUAAGAAGAAUGAAGAACUUUCCACCAAGGAACUAAAUUACACAUCCAGAAGCUGAUGGAAUAUCUUGGGCCCCUGUGUUUAUCUCACUCACGUUGAUGGAAGGUAACACAAAGGCGAUGGAGAUGUGCCCAUCUUACUGAGAAGCCUUUGAGGAGACUUCAUGUGGGGUAAUUAUUUGUGCCAUGAAGCCGGCAGUAUGAGAGGAUCCUGAUGAUUGAAUUCUUACUAGAAGAACAUGAGGUCCAUCUUGUGUGUGUUGGGACCCAUGCUUGUUUUAUUAGGGCAUAUGACUGGCUGGUUUCUGAUGGUGGAAGUGAACAUAUGAUUCUGUGGCUUUCCCCAGGACCAGAAAAGGGAGCGAACAGCAUGGGCAGAGACAGCAACCCCAUUUGCCUCGUCAUUAACAGAGACAUUUUCUUAAUUUUUUAUUUUUUUUUUUAAUUUUUACUCAGAAGCACACUGAGAAGUGAAUGUUAGUCUCCC
Molecule: long non-coding RNA, 1226 nt
Organism: Gallus gallus (chicken)
Lineage: Eukaryota; Metazoa; Chordata; Aves; Galliformes; Phasianidae
Source: Ensembl